RNAcentral lists this ribosomal RNA (253 nucleotides) under Eutreptiella gymnastica. Its description in RNAcentral is "partial Eukaryotic large subunit ribosomal RNA". It matches the Rfam family "Eukaryotic large subunit ribosomal RNA", at positions 179 to 439 of the family's 3401-position model. Lineage: Eukaryota; Euglenozoa; Euglenophyceae; Eutreptiales; Eutreptiaceae. The record is from RNAcentral.
GGCCAAGGCCCUUGGAAAAGGGCAGCAGAGAGGGGGAGACUCCCGUCCGCCUGGCGGAGCGAGUUGCGUGUCGACGAGUCGAGUUGUUUGGGAUUGCAGCUCAAAUUGGGUGGUAAAUUCCAUCUAAGGCUAAAUAUUGGUGGGAGACCGAUAGCGUACAAGUACCGUGAGGGAAAGAUGCAAAGAACUUUGAAAAGAGAGUUAAAAAGUACCUGAAAUUGCUGAAAGGGAAGCGAAGGAAACCAGUGUCGUG